RNAcentral lists this ribosomal RNA (253 nucleotides) under uncultured bacterium. Its description in RNAcentral is "partial 16S ribosomal RNA". It matches the Rfam family "Bacterial small subunit ribosomal RNA", at positions 524 to 776 of the family's 1533-position model. The record is from RNAcentral.
UACGUAGGGAGCGAGCGUUGUCCGGAAUCAUUGGGCGUAAAGCGCGCGUAGGUGGCUUCGUAAGUCCGCUGUAAAAGUCAAAGGCUCAACCUUUGAAAGCCGGUGGAUACUGCGGAGCUAGAGUCCGGAAGAGGCGAGUGGAAUUCCUGGUGUAGCGGUGAAAUGCGCAGAUAUCAGGAGGAACACCGAUGGCGAAGGCAGCUCGCUGGGACGGUACUGACGCUGAGGCGCGAAAGCGUGGGGAGCAAACAGG